AAGAAAGCGAAGUCCAUCCUCAU
Molecule: microRNA, 23 nt
Filed under: Bos taurus (domestic cattle)
Lineage: Eukaryota; Metazoa; Chordata; Mammalia; Artiodactyla; Bovidae
Description: bta-miR-2322-5p
Source: miRBase by way of RNAcentral